This 516-nucleotide ribosomal RNA is filed under the name Triticum aestivum (bread wheat). RNAcentral's name for it is "partial small subunit ribosomal RNA". The record is from RNAcentral. Lineage: Eukaryota; Viridiplantae; Streptophyta; Magnoliopsida; Poales; Poaceae.
AUGAAAUUACCAAAAGCUAUGGGCGGCAUGGGAUUUAAGGACAUGUGUGCCUUCAACCAGGCACUCCUUGCCAAGCAGGCGUGGCGGCUAAUUGAUACACCUAACAGCCUGUGUGCUAGAUUGUUGAAGGCUAAAUACUACGCUUCAGGUAAUAUACUUGAUAUUGUAUUUUCAGGCAAUGGAUCGGCGGUAUGGAAGGGCAUAUUACACGGGCUGGAGCUGCUCAAAAAGGGUAUAAUAUGGCGGGUGGGGAGUGGAACCCUCAUCCGAACCUGGAGAGACCCCUGGAUACCACGUCCUUACUCUUACCGGCCUAUAACUCCCAAGCGUAAUUGUCGGUUUAACAGAGUUGCUGAUUUUUUAGAUGAAAAUGGCGCCUGGAGGCUGGACAGAUUGAGAGAGCAUUUUUGGCCGAUGGAUAUACAACAUAUUUUGAGGAUACGCACAUCUCCAAGGCAGCGUGCUGAUUUUGUCGCAUGGGCACCAGAAAAGAGCGGGAUUUUUACAGUGAGAAGU